Molecule: ribosomal RNA, 545 nt
Filed under: uncultured bacterium
Lineage: Bacteria
Description: partial 16S ribosomal RNA
Rfam family: Bacterial small subunit ribosomal RNA
Source: RNAcentral
UGGGGAAUAUUGCACAAUGGGCGAAAGCCUGAUGCAGCAACGCCGCGUGAGUGAUGAAGGCCUUCGGGUUGUAAAGCUCUGUCUUUUGGGACGAUAAUGACGGUACCAAAGGAGGAAGCCACGGCUAACUACGUGCCAGCAGCCGCGGUAAUACGUAGGUGGCAAGCGUUGUCCGGAUUUACUGGGCGUAAAGGAUGCGUAGGCGGAUUUUUAAGUGAGAUGUGAAAACCCUAAGCUUAACUUGGGGACUGCAUUUCAUACUGGAAAUCUAGAGUGCGGGAGAGGAGAAUGGAAUUCCUAGUGUAGCGGUGAAAAUGCGUAGAGAUUAGGAAGAACACCAGUGGCGAAGGCGAUUCUCUGGACCGUAACUGACGCUGAGGCAUGAAAGCGUGGGUAGCAAACAGGAUUAGAUACCCUGGUAGUCCACGCCGUAAACGAUGAGUACUAGGUGUAGGAGGUAUCGACCCCUUCUGUGCCGCAGUUAACACAAUAAGUACUCCGCCUGGGAAGUACGAUCGCAAGAUUAAAAACUCAAAUGAAUUGAC